AUGUGUCGUCUUCAGAACAAUAGAAGAAAAAACUUCAGUCCCCAAUAUCUCCUCCAGAGAAACCCUAAUUCUGGAGGUACUUUACAUUUAAGGGAAACUGAUGGAGUCUAUGACAGUGAGAGUAUAAUAGAUGAAGUGGUACAUGAAACACUAAUUGUGGAUUAUCAGAAGGAACAUAUGAAAGAUUUCUCACAACAGUCUUGGGAAAAUAUGGCUGAAAUAGGAAAUGAUGGUCACCAUGACAUUGAUUACAUUCUUGAACAGAAAUUUCAAUUGGUUUCUUCAAAGAAAAGAAGAAACAAAAAAGUUUAG
This is a non-coding RNA of Vicia faba (fava bean), 312 nucleotides long. Lineage: Eukaryota; Viridiplantae; Streptophyta; Magnoliopsida; Fabales; Fabaceae. The record is from the annotation of a GenBank genome assembly.